UCUCGCUCUCUCUCGACCUUUCUCUUGCUUUCUCUCACCUGUUCUCCGUUUUUAAUAAAUGUAAUUUGAUUUUUAUGCAUGUUGAAUGUGUCUUUUGUAUCUUGACGUUGAUGGGUGUCGCUUUCUGUUGUUUAAUCAAGUGAUAGGGAGCUCUGCCAGUUGUUUCGUUUGAAUUUGUUUCCUAUACAGUCUAAGUGUAUGUUGUUUUGUCUCAGAGACUCAGCUCUGCUUGCCUUCUCGCCAGAAGAUAUUGCACUUUUAUCUGUGUACUUCUCUAACUUCAUAUCUUCUGGUUCAGAUAUUGAACUUUUCAGCUUGUGGGUUCAUUAGAGAAGUGAUCUUUGAGCGGACCUUUUUUAGAAUGAGACUGCAUUAUUGUUAUUUUUUGUGAUUGCAAUACUCUUGUCUUCCUUUAUCAAGAUUUGGCUUUUGACACCAGAGUUCUAAUAUUCCUAUUAGACAGAGUAAGCCGUUGUCUAGCAUCAUUUAGCAUUCUAUCUAUAAAGUGUAUAGCACCCGCUCAAGUGCUCUAUCUAUAUGGCAGCCUCCCAUCUUUCAUUGUCCUUAUAUUUUAUCAUGUAAAAAUUCGCACUUUACUGUAUGAAAGAACUAUGACUUUAAGCCAAGAACGUUCACUGGAUGGGAUCAAAAUAUAGUGUUGAAUUCUAGUGGACCAACAUGCACACUGAUUCUUAGGUCGAGAUGUGUUCUUUGUUAUCAUUUUUUAUCUGGCUACGUGGGGCUGAGCUCUAGGCUUUAGCUUGAAGUUUCAUAGGAUACAUCUUCUGACAACUCAGGUUUCUUUCUCCUUCACAUUGUUAUAUAUAUUUUAUUUUAUUUUGCAUCAGUGCAACUAGUGUGCCUGACUUACUAACGUCUAAACUUCUGAGGAUUGCUUCAACUAUAUAACAAUAGUUUCGUGUUCAUUUCUCAAAGUAAAACUUCAUCUGCCCUUUCCACCUGGAAACUUUUUGACUGAAGUUUUAUGUAACUGUUUGUGUAAACUGGCCAUUAUGUGCCUCUUGCAAAUUAUGUCGUAUAUUGCUAGCAGGAUCUUCCAGUUAGAAGUUUCUAACAGCUCUCAGCAAAGGGUGGCUGUUUCCCUUUUAACGUGCAGUUUUUUCUCUUUGAAUAUUAUGUUUCUGUACUCUGCCUCAAAAAUUUAGAACUUUUAUGUGUUCUGUUCCUGUGAAUAUAGCAUAUUAGUAUGCUGCAGGAUCAUUUUUAUGAUUGCAUUCUGUGCUGGUGAUUUAGAUCAUAUAUUACUUUAUUAGUUGAAAAUUUUCUAGCGGUCUCCAUUUUUAAUUAUGUAAUGAUGAUUUGAUGAUUAGACAAGCUGACUCCAGCUGCAUU
This 1353-nucleotide unclassified non-coding RNA is filed under the name Hevea brasiliensis (rubber tree). Lineage: Eukaryota; Viridiplantae; Streptophyta; Magnoliopsida; Malpighiales; Euphorbiaceae. The record is from RNAcentral.